UGCGUAGGUGGUGAGGUAAGUCGGAUGUGAAAUCUCGGAGCUCAACUCCGAAAUGGCAUUGGAAACUACCUUGCUCGAGGGUUGGAAGGGGGACUGGAAUGCUUGGUGUAGCAGUGAAAUGCGUAGAUAUCAAGCGGAACACCAGUGGCGAAGGCGAGUCCCUGGACAAUUCCUGACACUGAGGCACGAAAGCUAGGGGAGCAAACA
RNAcentral lists this ribosomal RNA (207 nucleotides) under uncultured bacterium. RNAcentral's name for it is "partial 16S ribosomal RNA". It matches the Rfam family "Bacterial small subunit ribosomal RNA", at positions 568 to 774 of the family's 1533-position model. The record is from RNAcentral.